This 232-nucleotide ribosomal RNA is filed under the name uncultured bacterium. RNAcentral describes it as "partial 16S ribosomal RNA". It matches the Rfam family "Bacterial small subunit ribosomal RNA", at positions 524 to 755 of the family's 1533-position model. The record is from RNAcentral.
UACGAAGGGGCGUAGCGUUGCUCGGAAUUACUGGGCGUAAAGCGCACGUAGGCGGCUUCUUAAGUCGGAGGUGAAAUCCUGGAGCUCAACUCCAGAACUGCCUUCGAUACUGGGGAGCUCGAGUUCGGGAGAGGUGAGUGGAACUGCGAGUGUAGAGGUGAAAUUCGUAGAUAUUCGCAAGAACACCAGUGGCGAAGGCGGCUCACUGGCCCGAUACUGACGCUGAGGUGCG